CAGGGAGGGCCGAAGGGAGGCGGCAGCCGGAGCCGGUGUGCGGCGGGGAGGCUGAGAGGUGGCGGUGGAGGGGCCCGGCACGGCACGGCACUGUCGUCAUUCGAUUCACCUACCGGCAACUACAGGAGAUGAAUUGAUAUCGAAAGAAACAUCAACGUGUUGUAUCAAUGAACCUGAGGAAAUCACAGCAUCCCAGUUACUGUAUGCUGCUGUACCUGCAGGUGUUGAAGUCCAGAUUGCUGGCUUGGUGGAAAUGUUUCUGGUGGAGGUAUACAGGUGCAAGCUCUACCAGUUCACAAGCAUCAGAAAACAGAUCAGGCACACCUGGCUCAUGCAUGAAACAGAUACAGCAUGUGAAAUUUCACACUGUCGUAAGUUGGACCAAAAUGAAAAUGAGUCAUGCAUCCCAUAGCAUAGGAGUCGAAGCUAAGCAAGAAAAGAAAGUAAAGAAAGAAAAUGGCGCAAAAAUUGUCUUUCUUCUGGUGUGUCUCAUACUUCAAAACAUGAGUCCCCAUUGUUGGUAACAUGAGCACAAGCAGCCAGAAAUAGUCCUCAUGCCUGUCACUCUUGUGAACACCUUGUUUGGAGAAGCAGCAGCUCAUUUGCAGCUUGAGAAGCCCUGUUCUGCAGUGCUGACUUCUCUUUCGUAUUCCAAGAGCAAAGAUGAAGAAGCAGCCCAGUGUGUUCGUCGUGGCCUCUGUCAUGUUUCUGAUGUUACAACUCAGACCUUAGCUGGGGAGAUAAAACUGAAUCAAGGUGGGAAAAUUUCAAAAAUCAGGAGAAAACCAUUUGUGGUAGUAUAGAGCUAGCUCAUCUUUUGCAAGAUGCUUGCACCUUAAAGCUGGGUUCUGAUAGUAUGCAUCCUUUCUGCAACACCUGCAAGAUAACACUAAAGUCAUAGAAUGCUCAUAAGAUCCAUUAAAAAGGUUGUGGUGUCGAUUGUGGCUUCAAGUGCAUUUAUUGUUGCAUGGCUGGCUGAGUGGGACUUAAUGGAAAAUCAUUUAAAAUCAUGGAAGUGGAUGAAAGAAACCUGCCAGAGCCUCAUCUGUGAAAGUGUUUUUACAUAAGCAAGUGCCUGGGAGGUUCACAGGAACAGCUGCCAGAGGAAACCUCAUCGCUUUCAGUGCACAAUGUACUCAUCUUUUGAAACUGAGUGGAGAAGAAAUCUUCAAGUAGCUUACCAUUAUCAGGAUGUUUAAAUGUCUGCAUAGGGGUUGUACCAGUCCUGUGACAUGUAGACCCCUUAGGGUCACUGGCUUCAGCUCCAUGGUGACAUCCUAACAUACACUGUGGUGGUGGUCAUGUAUUGAUCACCAAACCACACUGAAGCAUGGAGCAGCUCUACACUGAGUAAAGGGUCAGUAUUCAGUAGAAGAGCUUGGACCCUCACAUGCUGACAUCACACUGGUGAGGCAUUUGGCUGUAUUUUUUGCUGCUAUUCUUCCCCUGGAAAACAACUUUUUCUGACAACACAUUAAGAAAUACCACUUGGGUUCAGGAACCUUAUUAGCCAAUUUCCAGCCCACCUUUACCCUCAAAUCACUUCCUGUGGAAUAUGAGGUUUUUUCUGCUUAAAACUUCUACCAGAACAUCCCUUCAAAUAAAGAAGAUGUUGGCAUUGUCAGACUUCUGUGCUGAAAGCCAGGGGUUGUCUGGAAGAAAAAACACUCCUUAUGUGGCAAUUAAAAAGCAUUGGAAUGGUCUUCCCAAAAAGCAUUAUGUACAUGAUGGUACAUGUGUAGCUUCAAUGUGGUGACAGAAACAUAGAGGUUUGUGUUGGACAUAGUGGACAUUUUCAUUUUUUGUUCUAAUUACCUCUUGCUGAUACAUUCUACAUGCUUACAAAUUAACAGCUUGACAUUGCAAGGCAGAAUCUGUUGAAAUGUACCAAAGCUGACACUGAAUCCUACAGGUGGUUUCUGUACUACAUCUCUCAUUUUUAAUACAGGCCUAUAUAAAGCAAUGAAAAGUUCAA
Molecule: long non-coding RNA, 1975 nt
Organism: Calypte anna (Anna's hummingbird)
Lineage: Eukaryota; Metazoa; Chordata; Aves; Apodiformes; Trochilidae
Exons: 4
Source: RefSeq, a predicted model, not a curated record